AUGGGUAAUCCAAAUCGUAGUCAAAAACAAUCCAAAGUCAAAACCAAAAAGACAGUCCAAAAUAAACAAACAAAGGAAAGGGACAGGAAAGGGAACUCGGAAAACGAGAGGACUCUGAGGACGAGCAGAACAGGAAGAAUCUCGGGGGAAGAGAAUUCUGGAUACACGAAGGCCUGGUGUUGGUGUUGGACAAAAAAAUUUCUACUUGGCGAAUACAUUCCGCGUCUGGUGUUGUUCUGGUGGUUACUUUUAGCUUCUUCACCUCUAUUUCAUUUUGUUUGUGAAAAGACCUGACACAUUCUAAAAACACAAAGAGCAAGGUGUUAACAUUACAAUUUCUAUAGCAGCAUCCAGAUGCACAAACCAAAACUUAAACACUUACUUUUCAAACAUGUCAGGAGCACAGGUGGCAACACCUUCUUCCCAUCUUUCCCCGUUCUGUUAUACAGACAGAGAACAUUGUCUGACGCUAUGCUUUUUAAAGCCUGUCUCACCAUCUCACCUAUAUUGGAGCUGCCGUGAGUAUGGAUGAGAUAGUGUACCUGACAAAAACAUACAUAAUAUUGUCAUGAUUAAAAUAUACCAGGCUUCAACAUUUCUUUUACAUGGUAUCUGCUGCAAAAAAAUAAAACAGUGGCUUUGUUGUAAAAAUAAACGCAAAAUUUAUAUAGUAGUACUAACAUAAAGCUCUCGAUAAUUUUUGUCUUCUUCAAGCCUCUGACAGAAGGCUUCAAACAUUUCAAAGCUGGAGCACUGUUGUUGUUUAAAAAGUUCCUCAUGGGCAUCUUCUUCUGCCCGCUUCAUGAGAACAGACUUAACUUUGGCCAAGUCAUUCAUGAUGACAGCUUGUCUCUGUUCCAGCAUUUGAAUUUGUUGGAGUAUCUUAGUAUUCAUUUCUGAAAAAUUGUAAAGUUAGAUUGUUAUAUAGCAAAGGAUGUUAUGUCUGUAUAAAUAAAUAAUGUCUAAUUGAUAUAUCACAUACCAAACAAUUUCUCCAUGGUGACUUUGCAUUUUGUUUCCUUUGGUUCCUUCCCUGUUAUCAAAAUUACAUACAUAGGUGGUUCACUUUAAUUGUGGGGACAUUUGGUACAAUGUAAAAAAAAAAAAAACACACACACGCACGCACGCACACACACACACACACACACACACACACACACACACACACACACACACACAAUUCAUAGUCUUUGGAUCAAAAUCAGGAUAACAUGCAAUAAAAAAGGCAAAAACCCUGCCUUACUGACUUACUUGACUAACUAAUCAAACUGAAUGCAUGAGCGGUAUAAGCGCUACCGCAUUGUAUUCAUCUUUAUCAAACAAUGACAAAGGUAUCAUGAUUGCUUUAUGUCUCAGUUGAGUGGUGUCAGUAUGUAACAUUUUAGUGUGAUUCCGAAAUCCUUUGAAUAUGCCAAUUAUUCUGGAGUCACAUGGCUUAGUGUACAAAGGUUCCAUUCUGCAAAAAACCUCACAAAAAAUCAGAUUUUCUUGAACUCCAUGUAUAAGGCAGUAGCUAUCAUUGGUCAUUCUGUAACAUUCUUUUGUCUUUGGCGUACCAGAGGUAACAUUUGAUUUCUUAGAACUUGAUAUUGCUUGCCUCUCUGCCAAUCUGUUAGCUACUUGAAUCAGUGGAUCACUUGAACCGCGGAUAAACCUCUUGAUUUGACCCAUAUUGUUCUCAAACUUGUACGCUGAACAAUAGUGUAAUGAUCUGUUGUAAUUUGCAACAUCAGUGAGAUGUAGCAAGCAAUGCACAUUAUAUGAGAUGAAACUCAUGCUAUACAGGCUGCUACCUUUUUCAACAAAAUAUGUUAACAGCUCAUCUGCAUAAUCACGAUGCUCCAUUAGGUUUUCACUGUACAAGAUGCGCAUUCCAAUACUAAGUGAAAGGAAGUGAAUAUACUUCUCCUUAUCGAGAACAUAUUUCAAAAUCACUGGUCCAGUAUAAAGCAAAAAUGUUCCGAAUUCAGUUGCUUUCCAGUGCUUCAGUUCAUCUAACCCCCUUGGUUUCCUAUUGAAUUCAGGAGGUAUGUGAUGUCGGACAGCUUGAUGAAAAUAAGUAAUGGUGCUAAAAUGUCCAGCUGAUAAUCUAUGGGCCAAAGGUCCUUCUUUCCACAGCAUCAACAUUCGCUCAGUCACUCCUAGAUCUACACAAUGCAUGGGAUCUAUUGGGAACUGCCUGAUCAUAUCAAUGUCCAGAUUCAAAAGAAUGCUAUCUGUUUUGUGAUGUUCAGGAUUUGUCUUCUGUCUAAAUGACUCAUUGGUUCUGAGAUUUCCUUUAUACAAAAAAAGCAUUUUGCUCUCAUGAACUCCCUUUACAUCACAAAAGUCACAGCCAUAGCGGCCAUUAAACUGAACUAUUCCUUUGAUGAGGGCUCGUGCUGGUGCAUCACAUUUGAUGUUUUUGAGGACAAUUCUCUUCCCUUUAAAGCCUUUUUCCAUCAGUUCUUGCAGCUCCUCCAUAAAUCCCUCAAAAACUCCAAAUCACUUGGUUUCUUUGCUCCAGAAAACAGAGCAACAACGAAAGGACUGUUUUUCACUUCAUCACCGUUGAUGACAGCAUACUGAAGCGGCCACAUUGUGAGGUUUUUGGACUUGAAAAUGGGUAGGCUAUCAAUAUUCAAAGAAAUCUCAAAGUGGUCGUAUUUUGAAGUGUCUUGCUCAGACAGAGUAUGUGUAAGACCUUCCUUUAAUCCAAAAUAUGUGUAUUUGCCACCUAUCAAAAACAAGAUUUUACAGUUCAGUGAAAUUUCUGAAUAAUAUUGCCAAAUGAGUGCAAUGAGAAUUUUCAAAGUUAAAAUGUACCUGAUUUUUCUGUUAUUCUCAAACUGCCAGAACGAGGUGUUUUCAAUAGUGUUCGUCCGUCUGUUGGAACAUCAAUGUCAUGUUCCUUCAAAAUCUUAAGCAAAUGAGUGAGAGAGGUCAUGGAGAUGUUGAAUUUUAUUGCCCACUCAGACAGCUUUUUCUCCAGAGACAAAGCUAGCUCUGAGUUACUUUCACUGGUAACAUCCAUGGAAUCAUUUAGUCUAUCAAUUUCAUACCAUAGCACUUGAUCUUGCAUAUUAAUUAUGGUAUUCUGUUGUGAUUCUGAAUCAUACUGUUCUUGCAAGUCUUCAUUUUGAUGCUGCUCCACAACAUUCAGCAUAUUUCCUGAGUCGUCUGAUGAGUAGUCUGAUUCAAGUUCUCUGGAGGAGUGUUCACUAUCAGAAGUGUUUUCAUUUUUUUUUCUGAACAGCCAAAAUGAUCUUUUUUGAUUUUCUACGAGCCUUUUUUUGCUGUCUUUUCAAUGCCUUAAUUUUUGUUUCCAAAUCCUAACAGGCCAAAAAGAACUUCUGUAUUAGUAAAACAUUAUAUGAAACACAUAAAUCUUUUACAAUUUUUUUUAGUUUGAGAAGACAACCUUAGCCACUUUCACUGAUUACUGUAUUUGAUAAUUGUUUAAGAAGUCUUCUUUGGACAAUUGUUGUGUAUCCUAAAGAAAGUGUGUAUCAUAAAGUACUUUAAACUAGACUUUUGUAGAUCUACACUUUACAUUCUUAAUGAUGUAGUGUUGCAUCUGAUGUCUGGGUAAAGUUGCUUGUUAUGUUAAUAAGAGGAUGAAUCUCAGUCACUUUGAGUUUUGGUAAAUGGGAAGUGACAUUGAAGCUUUUAACAUAAAACAGCUACAGUUCCGCAGAUAGAAGUUGUUGUUAAAAAACUAGUCAUAUAGCGUGGUGAAAUAAGGCUUUUUAUCUUUAAUAUGAGUGUCUAAGAGUAGGCGUACUUCAUCUUUUUAUCCAAAGAGCAAUGAUAGUUUACGCUAUUCCACCAGUGCAGCAUUCUUGCUUACUGUUGUUUUACAGUGCUUGUUAAUUAUUUAAAUAUAAGUAUAAAUAAAAAAGAAUUAAUAUAUUGAAAUAUAAAGUUAGUAAUGUUGUAAUGAUCUGACAUAACAGGCCUAACAAUUCACAAAUACUGAUAUGCAAACUAGCUGCAGCUAGCAAUUUUGGUGUGAUUACUGAAGGUAAAAUGGCUGGUGCACAUGUAGCAUGUGUGAGUAGUACUCUGCUAAAAAAAAAAAAAAGACCAGACCACAUUGCACAUCUAAAAGUAUGUAAAUAGGCCACUCACCAUUUAUGCGGUGUAACAAUACCAUGCACAACUUUUUCUUCUUCUUUACAUGUUUUAUGGUGGUUGGAAGACCAGCUUAGAUGGUGCAUUUACCACCACCAACUGGACCGGAGUGUGAAGCAUUCACAAUGAGCUCACGCUUUACACACAUGCUGAGGAUCACAGUAUGAGGAUCAGAUGAACUCACCUUGAGCUCAUGCUUUACACACAUGCUGAGGAUCACAGUAUGAGGAUCAGAUGAACUCACCUUGAGCUCACGCUUUACACACAUGCUGAGGAUAACAGUAUGAGGAUCAGAUGAACUCACCUUGAGCUCACGCUUUACACACAUGCUGAGGAACACAGUAUGAAGAUCAGAUGAAC
This 4473-nucleotide long non-coding RNA is filed under the name Carassius auratus (goldfish). RNAcentral describes it as "lncRNA (ENSCARG00000053755.1)". The record is from RNAcentral. Lineage: Eukaryota; Metazoa; Chordata; Actinopteri; Cypriniformes; Cyprinidae.